Molecule: unclassified non-coding RNA, 412 nt
Filed under: soil metagenome
Description: partial contains 5.8S ribosomal RNA, internal transcribed spacer 2, and large subunit ribosomal RNA
Rfam family: 5.8S ribosomal RNA (bases 1-122)
Source: RNAcentral
GAUGAAGAACGUAGCGAAAUGCGAUACUUGGUGUGAAUUGCAGAAUCCCGUGAACCAUCGAGUCUUUGAACGCAAGUUGCGCCCGAAGCCGUCAGGCCGAGGGCACGCCUGCCUGGGCGUCACACGCCGUUGCCCCCCCGCGCCCCGCACCCAACGCUUUGGGAGCGACCGCGGGGCGGGCUGAUGAUGGCCUCCCGUGCGCUCCGCCGCGCGGUUGGCCCAAAUACCGAGUCCCCGGCGACGUGCGCCACGACGAUCGGUGGUUGAGAGACCUCUGUCGCAAGUCGUGCGCGCCCGUCGCGUCACGCGGGCUCGCAUAGCGCCUCGCGCCGCAUCCGGUGCGGAGCUUUCAACGCGACCCCAGGUCAGGCGGGGUUACCCGCUGAAUUUAAGCAUAUCAAUAAGCGGAGGA